CCGAGGGCCGGCGGGCGAGGGCUCCGAGCUGCUCGCCGCCUGCUGCCUGCCGCGGGGUGAAGCCGCGGACCCCGCGCCGGACCUCCCCGCCGGCCGCGAGCAGCUGAGGCGCUGCCGCCUGUGCGCCCCGCUCCGCCGCGACCUCCACGCGGCGCAGCCCCGCGCCAGCGCCGCCCGCGUCCUCCGUGGCGCCCCCGAUGCUCCCCGCGACCCCUCGGGGGCGCCGAGGUGCGCGCCGCCACCUUUAGCCUCGAAGAAGCGAGUUUUAUGUGGGGGUUUUGCCCCCCUUUUUUAAAUGGUGUUGUGAGUGCUGCGCAGUCAGGCCCCUCUGACUCUGGGAAGCUGCUGUACCCCGCGCGGCGCGGCGCGGCACCCCGCGGUUGGCGGGCUUCUCCCCUUCAGCAAAUGGAGGUGGUCUGCGCGCCACGGCCCCGGGCGCAGUUCGGGGCGCCAGCACUGUACGCCCAACGCCUACCGGCUCCGGGCCGGCAGUGUCUUUGCUGCUAUGCUUAGCCCCAAACUGGGCUCUCCAAUGAUAACUGACCGCUGGGGCCACCGCCUUUCACUCAGCCGCCGGGUUCCCAAACCUGGGGAAAAGGACCUAAAAAAGCAGCCGCCCUCCCCCCACCUUAGGCUACCUGGGAGCUGCACUGGAGAGAGCCGAUUCCCGUUCCUGAAAAUCUUUCCUCCACUUCUGACCCCACUUCUGAGCAGCUUUCCACCGCACAUCCUUUUCAGACUCCCGUUAGCCUGUUAUAGGUGUUCUCUUGCUCCAGUUUUGUGUGCACUUGAGAUCUUCAAAGAGGAAAUGCCCGCGCGUGGGCCUCCAGCAAAACGCCCUUGCAGAACCAUCCAGUUAAUGAGAAAAGGAGCCACCCAGAGAUGAAUUUCAGACCCUCUACUGAAUGGAGGAUUCCGAGAGCCCAUCCAAAGGCAGGAACUUCAUUGGUCAGCUGAGUGGUGGACAUGAAGGUCUGCCAGUUGCUGAUGGCCUCUGUGCCGAUGAGAAAAUAGAAAUGAUAUAAAGUCCAAAGGAGAAGAAACUUCUGACCAAAAGCGAGGCAAUUAGUGUGGGGCAGAGGUGGCCUGUUGAGAGAUGUGGGAAACGUGGAGAGCGAGAGAAGCAGUGGAAAGCCUUCACUUCUGCGAAGAACAUCAGCAGUCUUUAGAAAACUCAUUCUUAGAAGUUCUUCUCUAGAGUUGCAUUUAAGGAUAUUUGCCUGUACAGAUGAGUGUUUUGUAGUCCUAACAAAAAUCCAUGAAAUAAGGACAUAAAAGCAGACUGAUAAUUUUCACUUUUGUAUUUAAAAGAUUCACUUCUAUAUGUUUCCAUAGACAAUUAUAUUUAAUGCAAAAAUUAUAGCCAAAUUUAGAAAAAAAAUCUAGAUUAUUACACCUUUAUCAAGAAUCCCUGUUUUGCCACUAGUCACCUAUUUUUUUCUCUGUAUGUGUGUGUAUGUGUGAAUAUGAUUAGCAUCUAUUCUAUAACAUGCAAUUAUUUAGGUUUUAGAAGUGUAAACAGGCCUGAAAUGGUGGCACAUACCUGUGGUUUCAGCACUCAGGAAGCUGAGUGAGUUCUCUGUGAGUUCAAGGCCAGAAUGGGCUACAUAAGCAAAUCCAUGGCCAACCUGCCCUCCGUAGCUCUGCAGUGAGACUUUGUCGAAAAAAAAAAAAAAAAAAAAAAGUCCAAUAUAAUAAAGUGACUUUACCUCCUUUAAUAAGCCUAAUGAUUUUCAGUAUUUUUGUCUAAUACUGAAAUAUUACUUAUUAAAAAAUAACUACAAAAAUUAUUUAAAGAUGUAGUAUAAAAUUUCUUUAAUAUAAUCCCUAAUAUCAUAAACUCAUCUUUGACACGUGUUUGCACACUAUAUCCUUUGUACCCUACAACUGUCCUGUGCUCAUCUCACUUGUCAGAGUUAAGGAGAAAGGUUCUCCAUCCCUCUGUGUCUUCCUCCACUACCAUCACUAUCUCAGCUUUAUUAUUUUUUAUUUUUCUUAUCUCUGGUUAUUACAAUAAAUACACUCAAGUCUUUGUGGAAAUGACCAGGGAAACUCUGAACAAGUCCUUCAGUUAUAUCUGAAUAAAGAGAAAAAGAAAGGCAGUGAGUUAGCUGUUAGAGAUUCUAAGGUUCUUGAAAUCUGGGUAAUGAGAAAGUAGUUUUUCAGAAGGGAGAGUUGCUGUGUGUCUUUCCGAUGACAAAUGCAAAAUUGCAUGUAUUGUGACUGUUCUUAAUACUGGAGAUAUGAGCUGCUAAAUACAGUCAAAUUUGGAGACCAAUGUAUCCAACACUAUACUCAUAUUCACAAGUCUCUCCCUCUUCCCCUUUUCCUGUCUCACAAUCCCAGCCUCUUUUGAUUCUUGUGCUAAAGAUUCUUCCUUCCCCUUUGUAUCAUUAUAAGUUCUGGUCAUUCUGUCUCUGCUACACCUACUUUCUCAGACCCUCCAUCUGUGUUAACUCUGACUCAUCUUCAACCUCCACACAAAGACCAAAAUUAAGACUACAAAAAUGUCCUUGCCCAGUUCCGAGACUUCAUUAGUUCUCAAACUAUACUUUCCCAGCAGAGUAGAAGACAACUUGCAGUUUCAUGUAUCUGAGAUAUUUAAUGGUUAUAUUUUCCUCAGCACUGGACUAUAUGCUCUGUAAGAGGAAUUGUCAUUGCAUCAGAAGUUAGUGAAGUGCCUGAAUAUAUAGUAGAUUACCAAGAUUACAUAAUUUUUAAAUAAAUAUAAAAGUUGAUAUGAUUCAAAAGAGUUAUAGACAAUAUAGUGAAGUAUUGAACAAGCCAGAUAUUAUAGUGUAAGCAAAGUGACAAAAAACUUUUAUCCAACUUAGUUCCAUUUUGUCAUAAUUAUUAAAACCCUAGUAUUUUCCAGAGAUGUUGUGGUAUCUUUGUAAACAUGAUCCCUUUUUCACUGCAACUCUGUAGUGUUUUAUUUCUGAAAUCUUCACAAAAAUGAAGCAGGACAUUUUUUUUAAAAAGAUAUAAAAUAAUCCCUAUUAUUGGCUUUUUUAUCUUUUUGUUUAGCAUUUGAUUUUUUCUACAAAUGUUCAGCUAUGUACUAAAUCGAUUUUGAUGUCUUCAGUAUAAAAUUGGAAAUGCCUUGGAGAAAACUGACAUUAUUAUUAAUAUGGAGUGGAUGAAUGAGGAAGGGAAGACUAAAUACAACUGAGACAAUAAUAUAAAAUAAUUGGGUUAAUAUUAUAUUAUUAAACACUUGUAAAACAAAGAUUAGAAUAGGACUUUUGAUUUUAGAGGGUUCAAUGAAAGUUACAAGACAGAUUGUAGUAGAAAGUGACAAAAUAGGAUAGAAUAUAAAAUGUGCCUUUCAGAAAUUGAGAUCAGAAAUUGGAGGGGGACGUCAAUAAAACAAAAACCACUUAGAUCACAUUCAGAUGCAAAAGAAGGAGUUUCAAAGGUAAGUAAGUGGCCUGUGAAGCUAUUGUCCUGAAUAGAAAAAAGAUGGUUUCUAAACUGCUGCUUGCCAUUGCUACCUGCCUUUUCCAAUCUGACUUAGUGAAAACAGUGUAUUUGGAAAUAGUUUGGCCUUACACACUGUUGUAAUUGACCUUCUGAGAUAGUCUUGACUUUCUAGCUUAGAGAGUUAAGAGCAUUGUUGGUGCUGAAGACAUAAAACAACGCUGAACAAGAUUUCAGAUACAAAAUACAAGCAAAUUCUGAAUGUUCACCCAUUAAGGGAGAGAUGCAGAGAUUUUGAAAACUUAUUUAAGUUUUGUCAUUGUUAUACGGAUUUUUUGAAAUGUAUCUUAAUACAAAUGUGAUUUAAGAAUUAUUUCUCUCUUACAUGUGCUGAUGUAUUUUAUUUAACAAUAAAUAAAGCUAAUUUCAAAAUGUU
Long non-coding RNA from Cavia porcellus (domestic guinea pig), 3856 nucleotides. RefSeq lists it as uncharacterized. Lineage: Eukaryota; Metazoa; Chordata; Mammalia; Rodentia; Caviidae. The transcript has 3 exons. The record is from RefSeq and is a predicted model, not a curated record.